Molecule: long non-coding RNA, 324 nt
Filed under: Homo sapiens (human)
Lineage: Eukaryota; Metazoa; Chordata; Mammalia; Primates; Hominidae
Description: non-protein coding lnc-MCTP2-18:1
Source: RNAcentral
AGUUAGGACAAAGCAAGCAAAGAAGAGGGUUUGAGUAAGAAGUGUCUUGAAGAAAUAGUAGCUGUUGCUCAUGAUUAUGUUUUACCUGUGAAAUUCAGAUAAUAGUUUUGAGUGUGGUCUGUGGACUGGCAGCAUCAUCAUGGGUGAGAAAUGAAAAACGUGGGGUCUUCCCUCACAUGGAUCAGUAUCUGCAGUUUCACAAGCUCCCGAGGGGUGAGUGCACAUGAAGGAUUGAGUAUUGCUCCAAAUAACCAGACCAACAAGGGAGGAUGCCUUUGGUGGAAGCCAAAGUUACUGCCUAAAAGACCAGUUUACUACAAAUAG